CAGCAGCCGCGGUAAAACGUAGGUGGCAAGCGUUGUCCGGAAUUAUUGGGCGUAAGGCGCGCGCAGGCGGUUUCUUAAGUCUGGUGUCUAAGUGCGGGGCUCAACCCCGUGACGCACUGGAAACUGGGAGACUUGAGUGCAGAAGAGGAGAGCGGAAUUCCACGUGUAGCGGUGAAAUGCGUAGAGAUGUGGAGGAACACCAGUGGCGAAGGCGGCUCUCUGGACUGUAACUGACGCUGAGGCGCGAAAGCGUGGGGAGCAAACAGGAUUAGAGACCCCCGUAGUCCCUGUCUCUUAUACA
Molecule: ribosomal RNA, 301 nt
Filed under: uncultured bacterium
Lineage: Bacteria
Description: partial 16S ribosomal RNA
Rfam family: Bacterial small subunit ribosomal RNA
Source: RNAcentral